GACGAACGCUAGCGGCGUGCUUAACACAUGCAAGUCGAACGGGCCUUGUCCCCUUUUUUUUUGGGGGUGGGGUUAGUGGCGAACGGGUGAGUAACACGUGAGUAACCUGCCCCUCACUUCUGGAUAACCGCUUGAAAGGGUGGCUAAUACGGGGUGUUCUGGCCUGCUCGCAUGGGUGGGUUUGGAAAGAUUCGACCGGUUUUGGUUGUUUUGGUGGGGGAUGGGCUCGCGGCCUAUCAGCUUGUUGGUGGGGUGAUGGCCUGCCAAGGCUUUGACGGGUAGCCGGCCUGAGAGGGUGGGCGGUCACACUGGGACUGAGACACGGCCCAGACUCCUACGGGAGGCAGCAGUGGGGAAUAUUGCACAAUGGGCGCAAGCCUGAUGCAGCGACGCCGCGUGAGGGAUGGAGGCCUUCGGGUUGUGAACCUCUUUCGCCAGUGAAGAAGGUCCUGCUCUUUGUGGUGGGGUUGACGGUAGCUGGGUUAAUGAAGCGCCGGCUAACUACGUG
This 508-nucleotide ribosomal RNA is filed under the name uncultured bacterium. Its description in RNAcentral is "partial 16S ribosomal RNA". It matches the Rfam family "Bacterial small subunit ribosomal RNA", at positions 28 to 507 of the family's 1533-position model. The record is from RNAcentral.